UACGGAGGAGGCAAGCGUUAUCCGGAAUUAUUGGGCGUAAAGCGUCCGCAGGUGGCACUUCAAGUCUGUCGUCAAAGACUGGGGCUUAACCCUGGAAAGGCGGUGGAAACUGAAGCGCUAGAGUGCGGUAGGGGUAGAGGGAAUUCCCGGUGUAGCGGUGGAAUGCGUAGAGAUCCGGAAGAACACCGGUGGCGAAGGCGGUCUGCUGGGCAGUUGCUGACACUGAGGCGCGACAGCGUGGGGAGCAAACAGG
This 253-nucleotide ribosomal RNA is filed under the name uncultured bacterium. RNAcentral describes it as "partial 16S ribosomal RNA". It matches the Rfam family "Bacterial small subunit ribosomal RNA", at positions 524 to 776 of the family's 1533-position model. The record is from RNAcentral.